UCCGUAGGUGAACCUGCGGAGGGAUCAUUACCGAGUCUAAACAACUCAUCAACCCUGUGAACUUACCUAAAACGUUGCUUCGGCGGGAACAGACGGCCCCGUAAAACGGGCCGCCCCCGCCAGAGGACCCUUAACUCUGUUGCUAUAGUAUCUUCUGAGUAAAACAAGCAAAUAAAUUAAAACUUUCAACAACGGAUCUCUUGGCUCUGGCAUCGAUGAAGAACGCAGCGAAAUGCGAUAAGUAAUGUGAAUUGCAGAAUUCAGUGAAUCAUCGAAUCUUUGAACGCACAUUGCGCCCGCCAGUAUUCUGGCGGGCAUGCCUGUUCGAGCGUCAUUACAACCCUCAGGCCCCCGGGCCUGGCGUUGGGGAUCGGCGAGGCGCCCCCUGUGGGCACGCGCCGUCCCCCAAAUACAGUGGCGGUCCCGCCGCAGCUUCCAUUGCGUAGUAGCUAACACCUCGCAACUGGAGAGCGGCGCGGCCAUGCCGUAAAACACCCAACUUCUGAAUGUUGACCUCGAAUCAGGUAGGAAUACCCGCUGAACUUAAGCAUAUCAAUAA
RNAcentral lists this ribosomal RNA (559 nucleotides) under Fusarium solani. RNAcentral describes it as "eukaryotic LSU rRNA". The stretch from base 181 to 334 matches the Rfam family "5.8S ribosomal RNA". The record is from RNAcentral. Lineage: Eukaryota; Fungi; Ascomycota; Sordariomycetes; Hypocreales; Nectriaceae.